GGAUUGGGAACCCUGUGAACCACUGACCGGAGUUACUGAUGUAGUUUGAAAUUUGCCGUUGUUGUGCACUAUUCCUCUUGUAAAAGGGAACCAGUUAGGAGUAAGAUUGUAGGCCAUUGUAAAACCUGGAAAGGAAAGGAGAAAUACAGGAAAGGAAAACCAAAAAAUCAACCUUAGCCUACCCUAACCUAGAAUAAAAAGAAUCUUCAGUCCUCAACAUCAAGUGUCGUUACAUUCUGUGUUUGGCGUCUGUCCCUUACGCAACUUGCUGGAUUUAAGCUCCGUGAACGACUGGCAUCCAAAGAUAGCUCAGUAGUCCUUGAUAGAAGCCCAUCACUCCCCUUGGAUCACCACUCAAAGCGCGUGGAGGACGACUCGAAAAUUCCGCACGAAGUCAAGCAGUUGAUCACAGUAACAAAAGUUACAAAGACAUCAACGAAAGCCGUGUCUCUCGCGCUGGCAUCAUAUCGAACAAGGCCUGCGUUGAAGAAUCAUUUGUCAGUCAAGAAGCUUCUCUAAAAAUAACCAUAGGGAUUGGAUGAACGCGAGAGAAACUGGGGAGCUGCACAAGAGAGAGAAGCUGCACAAGGGUGGCGCGUCUGCAAUUUCUUAUUGAAUAGUCAGCCGAUAAUCCAGGGCAUUUUUUUUUUUUAUAAAACUUUCUGGACGCUUCACUUUACAAACACAAUUUUGCAGCAAAAGUUUUUUUGGUGCCAAAUUUGUUGGCUGUCUGUUAUUAUUACUUCUUACCUAUUUAUGUAUAAUAUUACUUCCGUGUGAGAUGUAUAAUUUUGUAUGAACGAUUUUCAGAAAAUUAUUGUUUUGUUUUUAGAGAAGGAUUGGCAACAGGUUGGUAUGAAAUCUGAAGUUUGUGUUUUGCUUUGAAUUCUGUACACAAGUGUUUGUGCAAACUCCUAGUUUCUCCUAAUAAAUAUAUCUGAAAUUUA
Molecule: long non-coding RNA, 947 nt
Organism: Macrobrachium nipponense
Lineage: Eukaryota; Metazoa; Arthropoda; Malacostraca; Decapoda; Palaemonidae
Exons: 6
Source: RefSeq, a predicted model, not a curated record